CNCUGCAAAUCUAGUCUGCUUCUAUAGAGUGGGAAAUAUACGUUUUACUGGCAGAAUGUUGUUUCCUUAUCUUGAUGAAACUUGAAAGUGCAAAUAUAUCUGGAAAAUUAUUAGAGACAUGAAAGACUAUAAUGAUGGCCAAUGCAUUAUACUGCCAAUCAUCCUCGUAGUGUGCGUGUAUAUAUAUUUGGUGACUCGGGUAUUCUAGCUUCGCCCACCCAAUUAAUUCCGAGGACUGGCAGCGAACAGGACCUUCGGAGGAGCUGCGAAGUGUAUCAUAAUUUUGCCUCCAUAGGACAUCCGUCUUUCAAUAUCAAUGUUGUUUUCCAGCUGUCACGGAGAUUCGAACCUAUGAUGUUUUGUAUAGAACCUUGCUUUACCACUGUGCCUGCCCCUAGGGCACCCUCGUAUAUUUUUCUUUUGUAAAAGCACCAUGGGCCGUCAAUUACUCUACUUUCUCUUGAACCUUGAACAAAAGUCACUCUUGCCGUAAGCUUGACUAAGAGUUUCUUAUUUUCAUCUUGCACCUUCCAAG
This 535-nucleotide long non-coding RNA is filed under the name Olea europaea subsp. europaea. The record is from RNAcentral. Lineage: Eukaryota; Viridiplantae; Streptophyta; Magnoliopsida; Lamiales; Oleaceae.